AUGGUUGUCGUCAGCUCGUGUCGUGAGAUGUUGGGUUAAGUCCCGCAACGAGCGCAACCUCGUUCUAUGUUGCCAGCACGUAAUGGUGGGAACUCAUGGGAUACUGCCGGGGUCAACUCGGAGGAAGGUGGGGAUGACGUCAAAUCAUCAUGCCCCUUAUGUCUUGGGCUUCACGCAUGCUACAAUGGCCGGUACAAAGGGCUGCAAUACCGUAAGGUGGAGCGAAUCCCAAAAAGCCGGUCCCAGUUCGGAUUGAGGUCUGCAACUCGACCUCAUGAAGUCGGAGUCGCUAGUAAUCGCAGAUCAGCAACGCUGCGGUGAAUACGUUCCCGGGUCUU
RNAcentral lists this ribosomal RNA (338 nucleotides) under uncultured Microbacterium sp. RNAcentral describes it as "bacterial SSU rRNA". It matches the Rfam family "Bacterial small subunit ribosomal RNA", at positions 1045 to 1382 of the family's 1533-position model. Lineage: Bacteria; Bacillati; Actinomycetota; Actinomycetes; Micrococcales; Microbacteriaceae. The record is from RNAcentral.